This 242-nucleotide unclassified non-coding RNA is filed under the name uncultured fungus. RNAcentral describes it as "sequence contains 5.8S rRNA gene". The stretch from base 1 to 53 matches the Rfam family "5.8S ribosomal RNA", at positions 102 to 154 of the family's 154-position model. The record is from RNAcentral. Lineage: Eukaryota; Fungi.
GAACGCACAUUGCGCCCCUUGGUAUUCCGAGGGGCAUGCCUGUUCGAGCGUCAUAUAAACCCCUCAAGCCCAGCUUGGUGUUGGGGCCUGCUAUACUAGCAGCCCUUAAAAUCAGUGGCGGUGCCAUCUGGCUCUAAGCGUAGUAAUUUCUCUCGCUAUAGGGUUCAAGUGGAUGCUUGCCAUCAACCCCCAAUUUUCUAUGGUUGACCUCGGAUCAGGUAGGGAUACCCGCUGAACUUAAG